This 433-nucleotide ribosomal RNA is filed under the name uncultured bacterium. Its description in RNAcentral is "partial 16S ribosomal RNA". It matches the Rfam family "Bacterial small subunit ribosomal RNA", at positions 29 to 507 of the family's 1533-position model. The record is from RNAcentral.
AACGAACGCUGGCGGCAUGCCUAACACAUGCAAGUCGAACGAGACCUUCGGGUCUAGUGGCGCACGGGUGCGUAACGCGUGGGAACCUGCCCUUAGGUUCGGAAUAACUCCCCGAAAGGGGUGCUAAUACCGGAUAAUGUCUUCGGACCAAAGAUUUAUCGCCUUUGGAUGGGCCCGCGUUGGAUUAGCUAGUUGGUAGGGUAAAAGCCUACCAAGGCGACGAUCCAUAGCUGGUCUGAGAGGAUGAUCAGCCACACUGGGAAUGAGACACGGCCCAGACUCCUACGGGAGGAAGCAGUGGGGAAUAGUGGAAAAGGGGCGAAAGCAUGAGCCAGCAAUGCCGCGUGAGUGAUGAAGGCCUUAGGGUUGUAAAGCUCUUUUACCCGGGAUGAUAAUGACAGUACCGGGAGAAUAAGCUACGGCUAACUCCGUG